This 560-nucleotide long non-coding RNA is filed under the name Vigna radiata. Its description in RNAcentral is "long non-coding RNA (VRAD_LNC004603)". Lineage: Eukaryota; Viridiplantae; Streptophyta; Magnoliopsida; Fabales; Fabaceae. The record is from RNAcentral.
GGAACCAUCACUCCGACUUGUUUUUGUAUUCUAAGAUCUAAGAGAGAAAUAGGGAGGACAGAAAAAUGUCAGUGAUGUUCCUAAUCGCCAGAGAAGUGUGUAAGCAGGGAUUCGCCGAAGAAGAUUAAACGCGAACACCAUAGAAGGAAAAGAAGAUCUAUUUGGUGGUGUUGGUGGCCUGACUGAGCUUAGUCAAUGACGAAGGACAAUAGCAAAAGGCAACGAUGAAGGAAAAUGAUAAAUGACAGCGACGAAUGGUAAUGGUGGUGGGUUCCGAGGGAGAAGAUGAAGAAAUUUUUGUUUCUUCAACUUUAAUGAAAACAAGAUAUAUGUUACCUACGAACACGAGAUUUCAACAAGAAAUUUGUUGUUCAUUUUACCAAUUGAUUUUAUCGACAGAAAAAUCUAUAAAUAUAUGAAAUGCAUUACUUAUAAAUUUAUUAACGAAUUUUUUUAUCAAUAAAUAAAAUAUGUAUUAUUGAUAAAUUUACUGACGAAUUUUUUCUAUCAGUAAAUAAAAUAUAUAUUAAUAAUAGAUUUUUUUUGGUUGAUAAAAAAAU